UACGAAGGGGGCUAGCGUUGUUCGGAUUUACUGGGCGUAAAGCGCACGUAGGCGGAUCGUUAAGUCGGGGGUGAAAUCCUGGAGCUCAACUCCAGAACUGCCUUCGAUACUGGCGAUCUUGAGUCCGGAAGAGGUGAGUGGAACUCCUAGUGUAGAGGUGGAAUUCGUAGAUAUUAGGAAGAACACCCGUGGCGAAGGCGGCUCACUGGUCCGGUACUGACGCUGAGGUGCGAAAGCGUGGGGAGCAAACAGG
This 253-nucleotide ribosomal RNA is filed under the name uncultured bacterium. RNAcentral describes it as "partial 16S ribosomal RNA". It matches the Rfam family "Bacterial small subunit ribosomal RNA", at positions 524 to 776 of the family's 1533-position model. The record is from RNAcentral.